Molecule: ribosomal RNA, 305 nt
Filed under: uncultured bacterium
Lineage: Bacteria
Description: partial 16S ribosomal RNA
Rfam family: Bacterial small subunit ribosomal RNA
Source: RNAcentral
ACAGCAGCCGCCGCGGUAACACGGAGGGUGCAAGCGUUAAUCGGAAUUACUGGGCGUAAAGCGCACGCAGGCGGUCUGACAAGUCAGAUGUGAAAUCCCCGGGCUUAACCUGGGAACUGCAUUUGAAACUGUCAGGCUGGAGUCUUGUAGAGGGGGGUGGAAUUCCAGGUGUAGCGGUGAAAUGCGUAGAGAUCUGGAGGAAUACCGGUGGCGAAGGCGGCCCCCUGGACAAAGACUGACGCUCAGGUGCGAAAGCGUGGGGAGCAAACAGGAUUAGAGACCCCGGUAGUCCCUGUCUCUUAUAC